Molecule: ribosomal RNA, 398 nt
Filed under: uncultured bacterium
Lineage: Bacteria
Description: bacterial SSU rRNA
Rfam family: Bacterial small subunit ribosomal RNA
Source: RNAcentral
AAUGAACGCUGGCGGCGCGCCUAAUACAUGCAAGUCGAGCGAGAAGACGUAGCAAUACGUUUGUAAAGCGGCGAAUGGGUGAGGAAUACAUGGGUAACCUACCCUUGAGUGGGGAAUAACUAGCCGAAAGGUUAGCUAAUACCGCGUACGCUUCUUGGACUUCGGUUCAGGGAGGAAAGCGCUACCGUGGGUAGCGCGCUCUUGGAUGGGCUCAUGUCCUAUCAGCUUGNGGUGAGGUAACGGCUCACCAAGGCUUCGACGGGUAGCUGGUCUGAGAGGACGGAUCAGCCACACUGGCACUGCGACACGGGCCAGACUCCUACGGGAGGCAGCAGUGGGGAAUAUUGCGCAAUGGGCGAAAGCCUGACGCAGCGACGCCGCGUGAGGGAUGACGGCCU